AUUAAAUAAUUAAAGGGCUGCAGUAUAUUGACUGUACAAAGGUAGCAUAAUCAUUAGUCAUUUAAUUGGUGGCUUGUAUGAAGGAUUUGAUGAAAUAUAAACUGUCUCUUAUUUAAUUAUAAAAUUUAAUUUUUUUAUUAAAAAGUUAAAAUGUAUUAAAAAGACGAGAAGACCCUAUAGAGUUUAAUAAAUUAUUAAAUUGAGAUUAUAUGUAAAUUAAACUUGAAAUUGAGUUAUUUAUUUUGUUGGGGUGACAAAAAAAUAUAUUAAACUUUUUUUAUUUUAAAACAUUUAUAAGUGGUUAAAUGAUCCAAUAAUGUUGAUUAUAAGAAAAAAUUACCUUAGGGAUAACAGCGUAAUUUUUUUUUUUAGUUCAAAUAAGAAAAAGAGUUUGCGACCUCGAUGUUGGAUUAAGAUAAAAUUUAAAUGUAGAAGUU
RNAcentral lists this ribosomal RNA (437 nucleotides) under Acrapex sporobola. RNAcentral describes it as "partial 16S large subunit ribosomal RNA". The record is from RNAcentral. Lineage: Eukaryota; Metazoa; Arthropoda; Insecta; Lepidoptera; Noctuidae.